AUAUUCACUUCAGCAGCACAUACACUAAAACUGGAAUGAUACAGAGAAGACUAGCAUGUCCCCUGUGCAAGGAUGACAUGCAAACUUAUGAAGUAAGGGUCAUAGCU
Small nuclear RNA from Tupaia belangeri (northern tree shrew), 107 nucleotides. NCBI's taxonomy places the organism in Eukaryota, Metazoa, Chordata, Mammalia, Scandentia, Tupaiidae. The record is from Ensembl.